CUCGGCUAGUCUCGUUGAUCACCGGCUGCAGCCGUGCUUCAUGUCGAACGCACCUAAUGUUAACUCCAUGUCAUGGACUAAAUAAAAUGACAGAGAACAGGAAAAUGGACAUAAGAUCAUUUUUCAACAUGCCAAUAAUCAGAGGCAAAGGAGACCGAAAUGAUUGAGGGACAGGUGCAGCAGGGCCGAUCAGAUGCACAGCAUCAGGUAGGU
Molecule: long non-coding RNA, 213 nt
Organism: Danio aesculapii
Lineage: Eukaryota; Metazoa; Chordata; Actinopteri; Cypriniformes; Danionidae
Exons: 3
Source: RefSeq, a predicted model, not a curated record